RNAcentral lists this long non-coding RNA (1535 nucleotides) under Phasianus colchicus (ring-necked pheasant). RNAcentral describes it as "lncRNA (ENSPCLG00000019880.1)". The record is from RNAcentral. Lineage: Eukaryota; Metazoa; Chordata; Aves; Galliformes; Phasianidae.
AUUACAUCUGGAGCUUUUUAAAAAUGACAGUUCUGAACAGAAGGAAAAAGGAACAGAGAUAAAUCUGCUAGAAUAAAUAUUCACAGAGGGGAAAAAAGAGAAAGUAAUCCAACUGAACAGUCCUAUGUGUUAGACUCUUUUCGUGAUGCAUGUCUGAAGCUCACAUGAUUUGGAUAGGGCUGAUGUCUCAUGCUGGGUAGCAGUUGAUGGCGCCAGAUGCUCCAUCAAAGAAAGAUAAUCGCAAACUGAAUCCUGCCAAGCUGUUGAUGUAUUAAACACUCUGUCUGUAAGUAGUGUUAUAAACAGAGAGGCUGUUGCUCCCAUCAGUCCUAAAAUUGAUGAUGUUCAAAAGCAACUUUUUAAAAUUUUUAUAUCUGUGGGUGUUACAGAGGCAGAGAUACCUUAGUUCCACAGAUAGUGCUCCAACAACAAAACUGCCUGUAGCUGUUCCUGCCCUUCUCCCGUGCCUCCAUGCUUAUUCCCAUCCAUACCUCUAGUGCAGAGAUGCUUAUGACACAAUGGAUUUGCCAAUUAAUCACGUAUAUCAGCCGAUUCUGAUUAAGAAUAUCUUUUAAAAAGGGCUAUUUUUAACCUUAAGCCUUUUAAUCCCUUCCGUGUAUUGGUUCAUCUCACAGUCUGACAAACAGCUGUGGUGCGCAAGGGUAUGGCGUGAGAACAAGAAAGAAUACCUCUGUGCAAGGGUGGAGCAGACUGAGGAGCAGCCAAGGGAAACAUCCGCUGAACCACAGUUCAAGCCACAUGAUUUCCUUUGGAGCAGUCAGGCAGGAAGCCAUAUACAAAAUCAGAAGUAGUCCUACAGCAGAAAGCUAAUAAGGUUGAUGGAACUGAACGUAUAAAAGAUUAUAAUUACUGAGGACUUUUCAGAAAACUCACAAGAAUCCCUCCAGAGAGCUCACUCUGUAGCAAAAUGAGUAUCAAAAUAGAUGAGUGAAACUUUAUGGUCAGGAAAACCCCAUUCACUGGGAAGGUGCAAGAACGUUUUCCUCAAAUUUUCACACAUAUUGUUUUGGAAAUUGCCCAUUAUGUCCUAACAAGCAAUGGAAUUUUUCUGUACUGGGGAAAAACAACUGAAGUUUGGCUAAAAGUCUCUGUGAUGAAGCUGAUGUUGGAAAAAUGGAGACAAAGUAAGUGGUCAUAUAACCUCCUUAGAUGCAACUGUGCAUGCCCAGAGGAACAUUAGCAUAUAUUAAUGAGUUCUUGGAAAAGAGGAACAUGUUACUAGUGCAACAACACAUCAUCAGUAGGGUAAAACUAACCUGUCUCACGACGGUCUAAGCCCAGCUCACGUUCCCUAUUAGUGGGUGAACAAUCCAACGCCUGGUGAAUUCUGCUUCACAGUGAUAGUAAGAGCCGACAUCGAAGGAUCAAAAAGUGACAUCGCUAUGAACGCAUGGCCAAUGUACUGCAUAUAUAUGUCUUGAUUUUCAAAUGUAGAUCUCCAAGAUGGUGCACUUGUUUGUCAAGUUGCCCUGUACAUACCGUGAGGAAUAAAGGAAAGCCACUGUCUAAUACCA